This is a long non-coding RNA of Micropterus dolomieu (smallmouth bass), 452 nucleotides long. RefSeq lists it as uncharacterized. The transcript has 3 exons. Lineage: Eukaryota; Metazoa; Chordata; Actinopteri; Centrarchiformes; Centrarchidae. The record is from RefSeq and is a predicted model, not a curated record.
ACUGUAUCCUCCUUUCUUUUGUCUCUACAGCAGCCUGCCCUACUUGUUGGACCUUAUUUGUUCUUGUACUUAUCCUGAUUGUAGCUGCUGCUGCAGUGUUGUAUUUCUAUAAAUUCAGGAGAGAGAGGGGGCAACGUGUCCCAACAACAGAGUCACCUGUCACUUCAGCGAGAGAAGGAGCAGAGAAGUAGAAGCCGCAGCACUAGCAGAAGUGAGAACACAUGCAGAGGAAGAGGAACCUGUUUGACAGCUGUGGAAGCAACAAGAUCAUAGUUGGACUGCAGGCAGUUAUAGAUUCGGCCCCUAACAUGACUGGUUUAGUGAACAGAUGCAGCAGUGCAGUUCCCAUAUAUCCAUUCCUGUCAGCUUUGCCUGGUUUUAAAUGCUUCUCAUUGUGGAAGUUUCUGUUUUACUGUUGUCAAAUGGUGUUACAAUACAAGAAUAAUAGCUGG